Molecule: ribosomal RNA, 245 nt
Filed under: uncultured bacterium
Lineage: Bacteria
Description: partial small subunit ribosomal RNA
Rfam family: Bacterial small subunit ribosomal RNA
Source: RNAcentral
AGAAUCAACGCUGGCGGCGUGCCUAACACAUGCAAGUCGAACGAGAAAGUGGAGCAAUCCAUGAGUAAAGUGGCGCACGGGUGAGUAACACGUGACUAACCUACCCUCGAGUUGGGAAUAACCUCGGGAAACCGGGGCUAACACCGCAUAACAUCUACGGAUCAAAUGCGUAAGCAGCUUGAGGAGGGGGUCGCGGCUGAUUAGCUAGUUGGCGGGGUAAUGGCCCACCAAGGCAGUGAUCAGUA